AGAGUUUGAUCAUGGCUCAGAACGUACGCUGGCGGCACGCCUAAUACAUGCAAGUCGAACGGGGUAGCAAUACCUAGUGGCAGACGGGUGAGUAACAUGUGGGUAUCUUCCCUAUGGUGAGGAAUAACACGAGGAAACUUGUGCUAAUACCUCAUAAGUCUUUACGGAGAAAGCUUUAUGCGCCAUUGGAUGAGCCCGCACUUGAUUAGUUAGUUGGUAAGGUAAUGGCUUACCAAGACUUUGAUCAAUAGCUGAUUUGAGAGGAUGAUCAGCCACAUUGGGACUGAGACACGGCCCAAACUCCUACGGGAGGCAGCAGUAGGGAAUCUUGCACAAUGGAGGAAACUCUGAUGCAGCGAUGCCGCGUGAGUGAAGAAGGCCCUUGGGUUGUAAAGCUCUUUCGUCGGGGAAGAAAAUGACUGUACCCCGAAUAAGAAGGUCCGGCUAACUUCGUGCCAGCAGCCGCGGUAAUACGAAGGGACCUAGCGUAGUUCGGAAUUACUGGGCUUAAAGAGUUCGUAGUGGUUAAAA
Molecule: ribosomal RNA, 531 nt
Filed under: uncultured marine bacterium
Lineage: Bacteria
Description: bacterial SSU rRNA
Rfam family: Bacterial small subunit ribosomal RNA
Source: RNAcentral